AGCCAGAGGGGACAAGCCGGAUCAAGCUCCGCCACAGUCUGCUUCAGCUCUUCCCCAACUGGUGGUUCUGCCAGUCAAGAGAAGAGUUAGACUUGUAAUGAAUGUUGUCCUUCUGAGUGGGUCUGAGAACCCACGACCUCGUGAUGCCGCCUCUGCAGUGCCCCCGCCCGGCUCAGAGCAGCGCCCCCUUCAGAAGCCACUGUUUCAAUUUAGGAAGGUGUCCUUCCUCCAUUCCCCUUUGCCCGGUAGCCUUGGCUCCAAAACGAUGCUUGGCUGUUCCCAAAUGCAAAAUAUGCGUUUGGGGGACAGUGACUUGUGACAGUGCAGAUAUUUAAAUCUCGGGAGGCUGAGCCGCUGUAGCCGGAGACCAAAGGCUGGACACAUCAGGAAAGUCCUUUGUAGGAGCUGUGGAGACAGUCUGAGAGGGAUCAAGGGUCGUGUUGUGGUGGGUCUGGGAAGGACUCUCCUCUAAGCCUGCAGUCAGGGCACCUUCUCAGUGAGUGCUCGUGUGGAAAAGAAGGGUGGGAACUCUGCUGACUCCUCUCGCUGGACACAAAUCCUGUCGGAUCAUGGGCUAACCUUCACAUCCCAUUUGGCUGUAAUUGCUUCCCAGAAGGCCAUGACUCUCGAGCAGUCAGAGCAGGCAUGUGUGCGGUGCUUGGUGAACACAGGCUCACAGGGUUGCAGAAAACCCCGAAGGCCUUUUCAUGCGGUUUGGAGUAUCUCUUGACAUAAAGCAUUUGAGGUGUCCCGUUUUCAAGCACUGGGACAGUACGUCUGACGGGCGGUUUCAAUUGUCAGCUUGAUGUGAUUCAGAAACCCCUCGGCACUAAUGAGGCACAACUUGGGUGUGUUGAUGGAGGCGUCUCCGGAGGACUUGACUGAGGAGGAAAGACCAUCGGUGUGAAUACUGGUCAAGGAGCAAGGCAUCUGACCUCUGCUACCCCCUCUUUGCCUCCUGGCUGAGGACACCUUCUGGGACGCUGUGUCUACACCUAACUCCUCAGCACUAAGUGGCUGUCCCUUGAGUCUCUUUAGCUGUACACGGAUGUGAUUCUUGUGCUGUCACCUGCGUGGGCAGGCACCUUAGCUUCUGCUCACUCCAGAGUGAGGCACACUCCUGGUUUCAACCUCUUGUUCUCUCAUCUCUCGUGUGCCAGCAGCCUGCCUGCCCUUUCUGUGUUUACCUCUGCCUGGACUGGCUUCUCCAAGCUCUUCUAUGGAAGUUUAUGUUUCCUGGUUCGCACAGUUACAAUCCUCCGGGGUUCUGCGAGAGCCCUGCUGACGUGGUGGUGACACACACAGUGGGACCGUGUCUGUCUGGAUAGGUGUGCUUGAAGAAAUAGAAAAUCUGGACAACAUGGCAUCCAGGGGUGAAAGAGCUCCUUCCCCGGUCCAGGAGGAAGGAGACAGGGGCAGGAAACAGAAGGCACAUGCCUGUGGUGAGCAGGUAAGGCGACGAGAGAGAAGUGUGGCAGCUCUCGGGUGGGUGCUGGUCCCACAGAGGCAACAAACUCACCAGAGCAUCGGCCGGACUUGCUGACGGAUGGGACUGUCUCCUGUGCCUCCAUAGAGUCCCAAGAAGGACGAAGCACUCUUGAGAGGGAAUAAACACGUCUGCACAGAUAGCAGAAGAUUCAGUGCCCAGUGGGCAUGUCUGUGGAGAGAGCUAGAGUGGCCCUGUGAGGCUGAGGCGCUGGCCUAUGCAGGCAAACACCCGCCGAGGAAGGAUGUGUGAGGCGGGGGCCGAGCACUCCCACACACCCACGGCAUUCAGCUGAGUCACAGAAAGUAGGAAACUCUGUCUAGAUUCAGGUGAAGAGUCCUGAUGUGCCCCAGGCCAGUUGGGAAAUGCUAGGCUAUCUGUUUUUUGUGAGGGCCAGGCUCACCGUGACUCACAACAAAGGAACCUCGGUUUGCAGGGGUCAGGCAAAUUUUCAAGACCACCAAGUCAUUGCAGGAUUACAAGCACGCGCUCUCUACCUUUCCCUGUCUGAUUCCUGCUCGGACAGCGAUUCUCACCCUCCCUAAUGCUGUGACCCUUUAUCACAGCUCCUCAUACUGUGCUGACUCCACUCAUAAAAUUAUUUUUGUUGCUACUUCAUAACUGUAAUUUUGCAACUGUUAUGAACCAUAAUAUAAAUGUCUGUGUUUUCUGAUGGUCACAGGCGACCCUUGUGAAACCCUUGUGAAAACAUGAUUCAGUACCAGCAAGGUUGAGAACCACUAUCCUAGAGAAAAAAGCAAGAGUGACCCAAUCUUCCAUCUCGGCUUCACUGAGCUUAUGGGUAGGAAAGGCUGAGGGCUUCCCACUAGGCUAGUCCAGUCUUCCAUAGCAAUCUAGAUAACCACCUUCGUGUGUGCGUGUGCACGUGUGUGUGUGUGUGUGUGUGUGUGUGUGUGUGUGUGUGUGUGUGUUUAAAAACAUAACAACAGGACUGAGAGCCCCCAUUCACCAGGGCAGAGCUUCAGUGUGACUGAAGAGGAAGAGCAAAGGAAGGGAGACUGUUUUAUGUGGGAGAAAUUCCUGACCGAAGCACUGAGUCCUAAAAUAGUCUGCAGCAGAUGGGGUCAGCAGCAGGUUUCUGGGACCAGGACACAGAAGUAACCAUGACUUUAUGCAUGUCCUUGAAGCCUGGACUCGUGGGACAGUGAGUCAACACUGGGCUUGCUCCUGGUUCAAGCACAUGCUCCCUGAGCACCACAUCUUUAUUAGCAUCGUGAAGCUGCAAGCUCCCAAGCAUACUCGGGUUAAAGGGACAGCUCGUGCCCAGCCUCCACACAGCCUGCGCUGGGGACCGCGCUGAAGGAGACAAACUGUGAGUGGCAGGGAGCUGUCACCAAGCACCACUCUGGCAGCAGAAAAUGACUAUGAACUUGCAAAGUUGUGCUUUCUGUUUAAAAUGUAAGCCAAGCAUGCUCACGGGCACCGAGAGCCAGUGAGAGAUGGAAGAGAGCGUUACAGCAAGAAAAACUCAUCUUGGAGGGAGACGAAUGGCAGAAACAACAACUGCAAACUUGUUUGUUAGUUUGCAAGCUCGUUCCUGGGUCCCACCAUGAGGCAAGUCUCCUGUGGGGUAGAGUGCUCCCUGAGCCCUCCAAAGCCACACCCAGAGAAGUUUUUAAUGACUGAGUAGUAUGCCAUUGUGUAGAUGUACCACAAUUUCUGUAUCCAUUCCUUAGUUGAGGGACAUCUAGGUUGUUUCCAGUUUCUGGCUAUUACAAAUAAAGCAGCUACAAACAUGGCUGAACAAA
This is a long non-coding RNA of Meriones unguiculatus (Mongolian gerbil), 3255 nucleotides long. RefSeq lists it as uncharacterized. The record is from RefSeq and is a predicted model, not a curated record. The transcript is spliced from 3 exons. NCBI's taxonomy places the organism in Eukaryota, Metazoa, Chordata, Mammalia, Rodentia, Muridae.